GUGUGGUUAUUUAGUUGUAAUUCUCAAGAUCAGGUGGUUAUACCUGAAAAAUUUUUAAGAUCAGAUGGUUACAUCCAUAUAGUAUUGACAACUCUGGCCAGAUAGUCUUGACAGCUAUGGUCAGUUGGCGCCUGCUUUUUGAAUCUGAGCCCGAUCAAUCUACUUCCGAGGAGAGAUCAGAGAGCGUAGCAUGCCGACUAGGAAUUGGGACUAAGAGUUUUUCGAUCAAAGAUUGGACCAAACCUUUUCCAUUCAGGAUUCGAAGCAAGAACAUAUCGACGAGAGAUCGGAUAGAAUAGCCUCCGAUCAGGGAUCGGGACAGAUAUUUGCCGAUCAGAGGUCG
This 343-nucleotide long non-coding RNA is filed under the name Elaeis guineensis (African oil palm). RNAcentral's name for it is "long non-coding RNA (EGUI_LNC000143)". The record is from RNAcentral. Lineage: Eukaryota; Viridiplantae; Streptophyta; Magnoliopsida; Arecales; Arecaceae.